RNAcentral lists this ribosomal RNA (492 nucleotides) under uncultured bacterium. RNAcentral's name for it is "partial 16S ribosomal RNA". It matches the Rfam family "Bacterial small subunit ribosomal RNA", at positions 29 to 507 of the family's 1533-position model. The record is from RNAcentral.
AGUGAACGCUGGCGGUAGGCCUAACACAUGCAAGUCGAACGGCAGCACAGUAAGCGCUUGCUCUUACGGGUGGCGAGUGGCGGACGGGUGAGGAAUACAUCGGAAUCUACUUUUUCGUGGGGGAUAACGUAGGGAAACUUACGCUAAUACCGCAUACGACCUACGGGUGAAAGCAGGGGAUCUUCGGACCUUGCGCGAUUGAAUGAGCCGAUGUCGGAUUAGCUAGUUGGCGGGGUAAAGGCCCACCAAGGCGACGAUCCGUAGCUGGUCUGAGAGGAUGAUCAGCCACACUGGAACUGAGACACGGUCCAGACUCCUACGGGAGGCAGCAGUGGGGAAUAUUGGACAAAGGGCGCAAGCCUGAUCCAGCAAUACCGCGUGGGUGAAGAAGGUCUUCGGGUUGUAAAGCUCUGUUGUUGGGAAAGAAAAGCAGCAGGUGAAUACCCCGCUGUCCUGACGGUACCCAAAGAAAAAGCACCGGCUAACUUCGUG